UACGUAGGGGGCUAGCGUUGUCCGGAAUCAUUGGGCGUAAAGCGCGUGUAGGCGGUCCGGUAAGUCCGCUGUGAAAGUCGAGGGCUCAACCCUCGAAUGCCGGUGGGAUACUGUCGGGCUUGAGUACGGGAGAGGCGAGUGGAAUUCCUGGUGUAGCGGUGAAAUGCGCGAUAUCAGGAGGAACACCGGUGGCGAAGGCGGGUCUCUGGGCCGAUACUGACGCUGAGACACGAAAGCGUGGGUAGCAAACAGG
RNAcentral lists this ribosomal RNA (253 nucleotides) under uncultured bacterium. Its description in RNAcentral is "partial 16S ribosomal RNA". It matches the Rfam family "Bacterial small subunit ribosomal RNA", at positions 524 to 776 of the family's 1533-position model. The record is from RNAcentral.